AAGACCUUCAGUGAACAGCUCGACACUGAUCUUCUGCUCAGAAAGCAGCUGGUGAAAGCUCUUACUGCUCUUGGUGGGCAGAAUUUGGCAGACACAGUGAGGACAAUGCUGAGGAAAAUUGCCACAAACAAAGUCCUGGAGCAGCUUGGUCUCCGUGGAAAGACAGGCAAAGUGGCAUUUGAGGACUUGCCCUUUUACAGAAUAAUAAUAAAGGCAUGCAGGGGUGUUCACAAACAGACGACCACAGCUGAAGUAGAUUGUGAGCUUGGAGAGGUCCUGAAACUGGCCACUUUUUGAAAGGGAGGUUCAAAGUUUGAGGAGAAGAGGAGGAAUUAAGAGGAAGCGACGGCGAAGAAGGGCAAAGGGAGGUGUACAAAGGAAAUGGACAGUGAGAUGAGUGACCAGAGGGGGGGGUUACCCACAUAUGCGGUCCUCUCCAAGGUUUCUCAUAGUCAUUCACAUUGACGUCCCACUGGGGAAGCGACGGCGAAGAAGGGCAAAGGGAGGUGUACAAAGGAAUAGGACAGUGAUAUGAGUGACCAGGAAGCGACGGCGAAGAAGGGCAAAGGGAGGUGUACAAAGGGAAUGGACAGUGAGAUGAGUGACCAGGAAGUGAAGAAGAAGAAAACAGGGAAAGGGAAAAGAACCAAGCAAACGCCAGUGAGACCAGUGAGCAUUGAGCAGGUAAACAAGGAGUAAAUUAUGCCAUGUUUUAAUUGAAUUCAAUUCAUCUACAUUCCAGUGCUGUCUUUGUUGUAUUUGUGAA
Molecule: non-coding RNA, 766 nt
Organism: Nerophis lumbriciformis (worm pipefish)
Lineage: Eukaryota; Metazoa; Chordata; Actinopteri; Syngnathiformes; Syngnathidae
Source: RefSeq, a predicted model, not a curated record